CUUGCACGCUGGCGGCAGGCCUAACACAUGCAAGUCGAGCGGAUGAAGGGAGCUUGCUCCUGGAUUCAGCGGCGGACGGGUGAGUAAUGCCUAGGAAUCUGCCUGGUAGUGGGGGAUAACGUCCGGAAACGGGCGCUAAUACCGCAUACGUCCUGAGGGAGAAAGUGGGGGAUCUUCGGACCUCACGCUAUCAGAUGAGCCUAGGUCGGAUUAGCUAGUUGGUGGGGUAAAGGCCUACCAAGGCGACGAUCCGUAACUGGUCUGAGAGGAUGAUCAGUCACACUGGAACUGAGACACGGUCCAGACUCCUACGGGAGGCAGCAGUGGGGAAUAUUGGACGAUGGGCGAAAGCCUGAUCCAGCCAUGCCGCGUGUGUGAAGAAGGUCUUCGGAUUGUUAAGCACUUUAAGUUUGGAGGAAGUGCAGUAAGUUAAUACCUUGCUGUUUUGACGUUACCAACAGAAUAAGCACCGGCUAACUUCGUG
This 484-nucleotide ribosomal RNA is filed under the name uncultured bacterium. Its description in RNAcentral is "partial 16S ribosomal RNA". It matches the Rfam family "Bacterial small subunit ribosomal RNA", at positions 30 to 507 of the family's 1533-position model. The record is from RNAcentral.